This is a long non-coding RNA of Alosa sapidissima (American shad), 114 nucleotides long. RefSeq lists it as uncharacterized. Lineage: Eukaryota; Metazoa; Chordata; Actinopteri; Clupeiformes; Clupeidae. The record is from RefSeq and is a predicted model, not a curated record. The transcript has 3 exons.
CUUAUUCACCCGGCGGCCAGAACGAGGCUAAAGGGUACACUUGCCAUUACACCAAAGUCCAGCAGAUGGUGGAGGUAAUGCACUCUGUUUGCAAGUUACCAAAAAAAAAGGAGA